AGGGUUUUCAAGCUGGGGCGCGAAGUUCGUGUCCCGGAAGAAGUUUAGGGGAAAACACAAGACUUUCAUUCAGGAAACGGGUGUUCAUGUUCCGGAAGAACUACUUAAAGGGACAGGUGUCAUAAAUGAUGCCUGUGGCUUGCACAGUAAUAGCGUUACUGAAGGCUAGAUCUAGUCUCGUGCUGAAGUCCCGUGGGAAUUCAGUUGUUGCAGGCAAAGGUAAACAGUAGUGUGCAGAGCGGAGCGUAGUGUGUGAAGAGUGAAGAUCGGAGGUGUUCACAAAGGAAGAAGCUUGAUGUAAGAAUAACGUGCGUUGCUCUACUGUGGAAAAGAAAUGGUUCGCGUUUGUGCCUUUCUGAAUUGUGGCAACAGAAAGCAAAAAAACAAUU
Sander lucioperca (pikeperch) is the source of this 389-nucleotide long non-coding RNA. RefSeq lists it as uncharacterized. The record is from RefSeq and is a predicted model, not a curated record. Lineage: Eukaryota; Metazoa; Chordata; Actinopteri; Perciformes; Percidae. The transcript has 3 exons.